UAGAUUGGGAUCGUGACUUGCAUCAUUUGGAAAUGCUGGUAAACCAUGGUUUAAGGAUCUUGGAGCUUGGUGAAGCUGAAGUUGAUGAAGAUGAUGCUGUUGAUGAAGAUGAUCGGGAUUCCCAGCCCAUACCCAUUACUGAGCCUCUGGGAGAUGCUGAGGGUGUGUCUGCAGGGAGGACUUCUCCAGCUCCUUUGCUGAUCCCUACACAGAAGCCUGGCUCCCAUGGCAGGGGUCCUCUGAGAAUGGAGAACAAACUUAGAGGAGACACUAAGUCCUGGAGGCAUCCAAACACAUGGAGGAGAUGCCGAGUGAUCUGGAGAGACGCCGUGGUGGGUGCAUUUCCCUCAUGCUUCCCCUGGGACUCAGCAGCCGGGGCCUUUGGCUGCACAUCUGGACACGCCGUGCCCGGCACAGCGGGAAGGGAUCCAUGGCAGCCUCGCUGCCCCACUGCUGCUGCUGCUGCUGCUUUGACACCCUGCAGUGCUGUUUCCCAACCUGGCCUGGCUGUAGCUUUUUCCCAGCCCCUGCAGGAAGGCAUUUGGCAUUAGCUGACAGGCAGCCCAAACUGCACCAUGUGCCUGAGAUCCCCUGAAAUUUCAUAGUCUCCAGGAUGAUCACUAAGGGUGGGUAUUAUGAUGAAGAUGGGCCCUGGUCUACCCAGAAAAUUCUGUGGAUUCCUGAUCCUUAACCAUGACUUUCACAAGUACUGGCUGCUGAAGAUGCCACCUCCCCAGUGGGGAACAGCCCCACCUGAUCCAGCCGUCCCUCUUCCUUUCUCCAGAAGUGGAUGGAGAGGCAGGGCAGAAGGAAGAAUUUCCCAGGAGAAGCAGUGGCUCCAUGCUAGCCUCUGCUGCAGGAAGGGAGGCCAUGCCAGGCACAGUCACAGGAGGUAAUUGCUGUGCCUCUGGGCCUGAGCCCUGCUGAGGCUUGAGCUGCCCUCUCUGCUGCUUGGCAGUGCAGGCACAGCAUGGACUAGAGCGGCACAGCCCAGGGGAAUUAUCCCGAGCAGGCUCAGGGCACUGAGCAGUCCUGCUGGGGUCCCUCCAUGGGAGACAUGUCCUGAAAACUGGCAGCGACUGCACGGGGUGCCCACGGUGGGGA
Long non-coding RNA from Passer domesticus (house sparrow), 1104 nucleotides. RefSeq lists it as uncharacterized. The record is from RefSeq and is a predicted model, not a curated record. The transcript is spliced from 4 exons. Lineage: Eukaryota; Metazoa; Chordata; Aves; Passeriformes; Passeridae.